AAAAAUUUAUCAAUCAUUUUUAAAGAAAAUGAUUUUGUGAUUGAAAAGUUAAAUGGUAAAAAUAUUGCUCAAUGUUUAAAGUGCAAUUAUAAGUUAAAAAAUACUGCACAAAUUCGAUUACAAAGUCAUCGAAAUAGAUGUGCUGCCAAAACUACUGAUCCCUCGGGAAAAACUAAGGUGCUAAGUAGAUCCUCUGAAGAAAGGUCAGCUAAUAUUUCAUUUGAUAAUCAAUCUAAAGCGACUUCAAGCAUUUCAUCAAAUAGUAGGAGU
This is a long non-coding RNA of Cotesia glomerata, 270 nucleotides long. RefSeq lists it as uncharacterized. Lineage: Eukaryota; Metazoa; Arthropoda; Insecta; Hymenoptera; Braconidae. The record is from RefSeq and is a predicted model, not a curated record. The transcript has 3 exons.